This 211-nucleotide unclassified non-coding RNA is filed under the name soil metagenome. RNAcentral's name for it is "partial contains 5.8S ribosomal RNA, internal transcribed spacer 2, and large subunit ribosomal RNA". The record is from RNAcentral.
AACGCACGAGACCUGCGGACCUGCGGAGGGAUCAUUACCGAGUGCCCACGCUCAGACCCCGCCGCGGACCCGAGACGAUUUGCUUCGGCGGGAGCCCCCCACCGGGCGCCCGCCGGAGGCCCCACGGGCUAGGCUCUCAGCGGCGUCACGCCGCGCACGGUCUUCUGAAUUAGCUUCCGAAAUCAGUCAAAACUUUCAACAACGGAUCUCU